This 253-nucleotide ribosomal RNA is filed under the name uncultured bacterium. RNAcentral describes it as "partial 16S ribosomal RNA". It matches the Rfam family "Bacterial small subunit ribosomal RNA", at positions 524 to 776 of the family's 1533-position model. The record is from RNAcentral.
UACGUAGGUGGCAAGCGUUGUUCGGAUUUACUGGGCGUAAAGGGCGCGUAGGCGGCAGAUCAAGUCAGCUGUGAAAUCUCAGGGCUUAACCCUGAACGGUCAGCUGAUACUGUUUUGCUAGAGUACAGAAGGGGCAAUCGGAAUUCUUGGUGUAGCGGUGAAAUGCGUAGAUAUCAAGAGGAACACCUGAGGUGAAGACGGGUUGCUGGGCUGAUACUGACGCUGAGGCGCGAAAGCUAGGGUAGCAAACGGG